RNAcentral lists this ribosomal RNA (406 nucleotides) under uncultured bacterium. Its description in RNAcentral is "partial 16S ribosomal RNA". It matches the Rfam family "Bacterial small subunit ribosomal RNA", at positions 30 to 526 of the family's 1533-position model. The record is from RNAcentral.
AUUGAACGCUGGCGGCAGGCCUAACACAUGCAAGUCGGGCGCGCGGCGGACGGGUGAGUAAUGUAUGGGGCUCUGCCUGAUGGAGGGGGAUCUCCACUGGACACUGUAGCUUAUACCGCAUACCAUCAGAUGACCCCAUAUGGGAGUAGCUUGUAGGUGAGGUCACGGCUCACCUAGGCGACUAUCCCUCGCUGGUCUGAGAGGAUGAUCAGCCACACUGGGACUGGGACACGGCCCAGACUCCUACGGGAGGCAGCAGUGGGGAAUAUUGCACAAUGGGCGCAAGCCUGAUGCAGCCAUGCCGCGUGUAUGAAGAAGGCCUUCGGGUUGUAAAGUACUUUCAGACGGGAGGCGUUACCAACAGAAGAAGCACCGGCUAACUCCGUGCCAGCAGCCGCGGUAAUAC